UUGAUCUUCGAAACUCAUAAUGUCUCGUCAUAGGUUUGUUGGGAAGGAUCCAAAAUGGAUAAACAUUAUCCUUGGUCAUACUAAUGUUGGGUGGAAGCUUUUUCAGGCGUAUAAUGAAAUUCGUCACCUCCUCAACUUUAUCUUAAUCUAUCAAGAGAACAAGAAAGCUAGAUAAUGUGCUGCUUGCGCAUACAAGAUAUUCAUUAGCCUCUCUUGGCCAUAAUAUCUUGCUCUUUCUUGUUAUGUAUCGAAAAAAUAAAAAUAAAAAAAAAUUAAAAAGUUUUUUGGUAUUAGACCAUAGACUUAGUUUACAUCCUGAUUAUUAGUUAAUUGUUUGUAAAUUGCCAAACUGGUGAAUUGAAUUAAAUUAGUGUAAAUGAUGCAUGAAUUGUUGAGGAGGAAGGCUUCGUUGGAAAUAGUGGAUUUAGCUAAGUCUCUUUGUCCAUCAAUUGAAUUUGUGAAUAAAUUAAGCAGGGUUUAAUCAUUGUGAAUUUGAGAAUCUUUUUAGAUAAUUAGCCAUCUUCCUACCUUACUACACUCAACCUUACUUUUCCAGGCUUUUCUUUUUUCCUCUUUUUGUCCAUUGUUAAUUUAUUAUAUGAAUCGAGAUUACAGACAAAAUUUAAAAGUUUUAUUGAUUUUGUGUCGAGAGAAAUUAAUUCUUUCAGGGUUUUGUGAUUAUUCCUUUUAAUAAUGUCAUAUUCAAGAUUUAAAUUUAUGCUUUCUUCUUGAAAGUAUAAUAUAUCUUACCCGUAAAAAAACAUAUGAAUGAAAGUCAUAAAUUUGAUGUGGUUAGAUGGGCUUCUUUCUUUGCUUUUGUAGUUACAUUGCUGGCGUUUCAUUGAAGCCAAUUUGUUUAACUAACAUGGCAGGUUUGGCAGCAUUUCCCCCAAUAAUUGAAGUUGCUAUUUCAGCCAUGCGUUCCUUGUUAAAUAAUAAGUCAGUUCAUGCUAAUGAAGUAGUAGGAUUGAGGUUAUGAAAUUCGAGUUUUAUUUUUUAUAUUCAAAAGCAUUGAUAAAUUAUAUAGAUAUCAUGGGAAAAUAAAAAUAAAAAUACCCCUAGUUGAAGCAAAAUCAUAAUAAGCCUGAAAAUAUAGGAAGAC
This 1102-nucleotide long non-coding RNA is filed under the name Gossypium raimondii (Peruvian cotton). Its description in RNAcentral is "long non-coding RNA (GRAI_LNC000213)". The record is from RNAcentral. Lineage: Eukaryota; Viridiplantae; Streptophyta; Magnoliopsida; Malvales; Malvaceae.